This 103-nucleotide small RNA is filed under the name Epilithonimonas lactis. RNAcentral's name for it is "Chryseobacterium halperniae Flavo-1 RNA". It matches the Rfam family "Flavo-1 RNA". The record is from RNAcentral. Lineage: Bacteria; Pseudomonadati; Bacteroidota; Flavobacteriia; Flavobacteriales; Weeksellaceae.
ACGCAAUAGGGAUAGUAGUGGAAAUCCUUUUUAUGAAGAGCCUGCGAUGGGAAAGGAGGGACGGAUCUUUAUAAAAAGAUUGCAACGGAUAGCCCGGCCCCGC